RNAcentral lists this ribosomal RNA (465 nucleotides) under uncultured bacterium. Its description in RNAcentral is "partial 16S ribosomal RNA". It matches the Rfam family "Bacterial small subunit ribosomal RNA", at positions 28 to 507 of the family's 1533-position model. The record is from RNAcentral.
GACGAACGCUGGCGGCGUGCUUAACACAUGCAAGUCGAACGGAAAGGCCCUGCUUGCAGGGUACUCGAGUGGCGAACGGGUGAGUAACACGUGGGUGAUCUGCCCUGCACUUCGGGAUAAGCCUGGGAAACUGGGUCUAAUACCGGAUAGGAGCCAUUUUUAGUGUGAUGGUUGGAAAGUUUUUUCGGUGUAGGAUGAGCUCGCGGCCUAACAGCUUGUUGGUGGGGUAAUGGCCUACCAAGGCGGCGACGGGUAGCCGGCCUGAGAGGGUGGACGGCCACAUUGGGACUGAGAUACGGCCCAGACUCCUACGGGAGGCAGCAGUGGGGAAUAUUGCACAAUGGGCGCAAGCCUGAUGCAGCGACGCCGCGUGGGGGAUGACGGCCUUCGGGUUGUAAACUCCUUUCGCUAGGGACGAAGCUUUUUGUGACGGUACCUAGAUAAGAAGCAGCGGCUAACUACGUG